UAAGGAAUAUUGGUCAAUGGACGCAAGUCUGAACCAGCCAUGCCGCGUGAAGGAUGAAGGUCCUCUGGAUUGUAAACUUCUUUUAUCUGGGACGAAAACGGGAUUUUUAUCUCAAUUGACGGUACCAGAGGAAUAAGCACCGGCUAACUCCGUGCCAGCAGCCGCGGUAAUACGGAGGGUGCGAGCGUUAUCCGGAUUUACUGGGUUUAAAGGGUGCGUAGGUGGGCUUAUAAGUCAGUGGUGAAAUCUCCGAGCUUAACUUGGAAACUGCCGUUGAUACUGUAGGUCUUGAAUUAUCUGGAGGUAAGCGGAAUAUGUCAUGUAGCGGUGAAAUGCUUAGAUAUGACAUAGAACACCAAUUGCGAAGGCAGCUUACUACAUAUAAAUUGACGCUGAGGCACGAAAGCGUGGGGAUCAAACA
RNAcentral lists this ribosomal RNA (421 nucleotides) under uncultured bacterium. RNAcentral describes it as "bacterial SSU rRNA". It matches the Rfam family "Bacterial small subunit ribosomal RNA", at positions 355 to 774 of the family's 1533-position model. The record is from RNAcentral.